ACUCGUUCUUCUUUUCAGUCAUAGAUAACAAUAUAGUCAGUCAUAUAUUUACGAAGUGACUUUACAGACUACAUGAAGUCAUAUACGAUCUACAGAGUGACUACGAAAAGUUCAUAAUGGGAAUUACGAUGACGAUGGUUCAAGAGACGACUCGUCGGGACCGGGUUUAAUAAUUCGAUCGUCUCAACAAGAAAAGAGACCAGUAAGUCUCUGCUCAUUUCUCUCUUCUCCUUUGUGUUCUUACAUUUACUGUAGAAUUCUGGUUGGUCUUUACCGUUCAAUAGUAAGCGUAUCUAGAUGAACUUUGUGUUUUAUCUCUUCAUGCGUCAGUGUUCCACCGGAAUGACAUGACUCAUCUUCUCACAUCGUAUGGCCACCUUUCAUCUCCAACUUUUUUCUUUUAGAUCGUUGUUUGGAUUGCAGUUACCUAGACGGGUAUCUUUAUAGACUUACACAUGUAUCUGUGUGGUUGUUCGUUGUACGUGGCUUACUCAACUUAAGGGAUUACACAAUAAAGAUAAAGUCGAGUUCUUUUUUGUCGUAUUAAAUGUUGGAUUUGGGGACUUGUUAUAACCACUACCAGUUAUGUCGUCCGUUCGAUACAUUUAUGUAAUUCUAAUCAUCAAGAUACAAAACGUUACUUUCUUGCGGCGCCACCAGGAUUUCGUGAAGACCAAUGAUUUAUAGUCUACGUUUAGUAGGGGAGUUAACCAAAUGAGGGAGGUAAGGUUUUAUCUACUUCAAAGUGUAAAACGUCAGAUCUCGUUAUAAUUAACAAAUUAAAAACACACGUAUAUAUCAUUGAUUUUUCUUUUUACACUUUGAUAAUAAGUACUGUUUAAACUUCCAUGUCAGGCAGAGACUGUUUAGGUUUAUUAAAGUGAGGGCAAGUUUUGUAUCUACAGAAAAAUCAGACAAGUGUAAAAGAGUUUUAUAAACAGGAGGAUAUAGUUACGGUAACACAAGGAUGAAACGAGAACUAGUAAUUUUUUUCGAUGAGGAAAGUUUUCUACCAAUUAUAACAAAUUAAAAACACACGUAUAUAUCAUGAGGGAGGCAAGGUUUUAUCUACUGAGUUGAAACAUGAUUGAAUUAUCUACUGAGUUGAAACAUGAUUGAAAUUCAAUCAUGUUUCAAUGUUUCAACUCAGUAGAUAAAACCUUGGUACCCUUUUCAAUCAUGUUUCAACUCAGUAGAUAAAACCUUACCUCCCUCAUUAAUUAAUUGAGUAACACGAAGUCACGGAACGAAACCCCUCCCUUUUAUCCGUUGAAUUAACAAAACACUUCUUCUCUACCCAUUAUAACUGUAAAGUGAGUGUGACAAAAACACGGGUUAAGAUCUUUUUAUAACAAGAAGUGUUUUAUUUUAUCAGACCCUUUUUG
RNAcentral lists this ribosomal RNA (1385 nucleotides) under Triticum aestivum (bread wheat). Its description in RNAcentral is "partial small subunit ribosomal RNA". The record is from RNAcentral. Lineage: Eukaryota; Viridiplantae; Streptophyta; Magnoliopsida; Poales; Poaceae.